UGGGGAAUAUUGCACAAUGGGCGAAAGCCUGAUGCAGCAACGCCGCGUGAGGGACGACGGCCUUCGGGUUGUAAACCUCUUUUAGCAAGGAAGAAGCGAAAGUGACGGUACUUGCAGAAAAAGCGCCGGCUAACUACGUGCCAGCAGCCGCGGUAAUACGUAGGGCGCAAGCGUUAUCCGGAAUUAUUGGGCGUAAAGAGCUCGUAGGCGGUUUGUCGCGUCUGCUGUGAAAACCCGAGGCUCAACCUCGGGCCUGCAGUGGGUACGGGCAGACUAGAGUGCGGUAGGGGAGAUUGGAACUCCUGGUGUAGCGGUGGAAUGCGCAGAUAUCAGGAAGAACACCGAUGGCGAAGGCAGAUCUCUGGGCCGUAACUGACGCUGAGGAGCGAAAGGGUGGGGAGCAAAACGAGGCUUAGAUGACCCUGGUAGUCCACCCCGUAAACGUUGGAACUAGUUGUGGGUCCAUUCCACGGAUUCCGUGACGCAGCUAACGCAUUAAGUUCCCCGCCUGGGGAGUACGGCCGCAAGG
Molecule: ribosomal RNA, 529 nt
Filed under: uncultured bacterium
Lineage: Bacteria
Description: partial 16S ribosomal RNA
Rfam family: Bacterial small subunit ribosomal RNA
Source: RNAcentral